RNAcentral lists this ribosomal RNA (764 nucleotides) under uncultured Pseudomonas sp. Its description in RNAcentral is "bacterial SSU rRNA". It matches the Rfam family "Bacterial small subunit ribosomal RNA", at positions 59 to 821 of the family's 1533-position model. The record is from RNAcentral. Lineage: Bacteria; Pseudomonadati; Pseudomonadota; Gammaproteobacteria; Pseudomonadales; Pseudomonadaceae.
AAGUCGAGCGGCAGCACGGGUACUUGUACUGGUGGCGAGCGCGGACGGGUGAGUAAUGCCUAGGAAUCUGCUGGUAGUGGGGGAUAACGCUCGGAAACGGACGCUAAUACCGCAUACGUCUACGGGAGAAAGCAGGGGACCUUCGGGCCUUGCGCUAUCAGAUGAGCCUAGGUCGGAUUAGCUAGUUGGUGAGGUAAUGGCUCACCAAGGCGACGAUCCGUAACUGGUCUGAGAGGAUGAUCAGUCACACUGGAACUGAGACACGGUCCAGACUCCUACGGGAGGCAGCAGUGGGGAAUAUUGGACAAUGGGCGAAAGCCUGAUCCAGCCAUGCCGCGUGUGUGAAGAAGGUCUUCGGAUUGUAAAGCACUUUAAGUUGGGAGGAAGGGCAGUUACCUAAUACGUAAUUGUUUUGACGUUACCGACAGAAUAAGCACCGGCUAACUCUGUGCCAGCAGCCGCGGUAAUACAGAGGGUGCAAGCGUUAAUCGGAAUUACUGGGCGUAAAGCGCGCGUAGGUGGUUCGUUAAGUUGGAUGUGAAAUCCCCGGGCUCAACCUGGGAACUGCAUCCAAAACUGGCGAGCUAGAGUAUGGUAGAGGGUGGUGGAAUUUCCUGUGUAGCGGUGAAAUGCGUAGAUAUAGGAAGGAACACCAGUGGCGAAGGCGACCACCUGGACUGAUACUGACACUGAGGUGCGAAAGCGUGGGGAGCAACAGGAUUAGAUACCCUGGUAGUCCACGCCGUAAACGAUGUCAACUAGCC